AACUUAAAGGAAUUGACGGAAGGGCACCACCAGGAGUGGAGCCUGCGGCUUAAUUUGACUCAACACGGGGAAACUCACCAGGUCCAGACACAAUAAGGAUUGACAGAUUGAGAGCUCUUUCUUGAUUUUGUGGGUGGUGGUGCAUGGCCGUUCUUAGUUGGUGGAGUGAUUUGUCUGCUUAAUUGCGAUAACGAACGAGACCUUAACCUACUAAAUAGUUCUGCUAGCAUUUGCUGGUACGAUACUUCUUAGAGGGACUACCGAUUUCAAGUCGGUGGAAGUUUGAGGCAAUAACAGGUCUGUGAUGCCCUUAGACGUUCUGGGCCGCACGCGCGCUACACUGACGGAGCCAGCGAGUAUUAACCUUGGCCGAGAGGUCCGGGAAAUCUUGUGAAACUCCGUCGUGCUGGGGAUAGAGCAUUGUAAUUAUUGCUCUUCAACGAGGAAUUCCUAGUAAGCGCAAGUCAUCAGCUUGCGUUGAUUACGUCCCUGCCCUUUGUACACACCGCCCGUCGCUACUACCGAUUGAAUGGCUUAGUGAGGCCCUCGGAUUGGUUUAAAGAAGGAGGCAACUCCAUCUUGGAACCGAAAAGUUGGACAAACUUGGUCAUUUAGAGGAAGUAAAAGUCGUAACAAGGUUUCCGUAGGUGAACCUGCGGA
Molecule: ribosomal RNA, 660 nt
Filed under: [Candida] sp. ENV2
Lineage: Eukaryota; Fungi; Ascomycota; Saccharomycetes; Saccharomycetales
Description: SSU rRNA
Rfam family: Eukaryotic small subunit ribosomal RNA
Source: RNAcentral